Long non-coding RNA from Prionailurus viverrinus (fishing cat), 3476 nucleotides. RefSeq lists it as uncharacterized. The transcript has 3 exons. Lineage: Eukaryota; Metazoa; Chordata; Mammalia; Carnivora; Felidae. The record is from RefSeq and is a predicted model, not a curated record.
CCCCGCCAACACAUUGCUCUAUUCUCGUUAAAUGACUUCUUGAAUCCGAUUUUACCUGCUUUAUUGCAGAUCAAAACACGAGUUCAGCUUUAAGUAGCUCCUUGAGAGCAGAGGCCCAAGUUUCUGUCCCAGUGUCUGGCAUCUUACGUGCUAUUUUGUUGAAAUAGUGAAGUGGGAAACCCAGAAACAGCGUGUAGGUGGCCCGAAGUCCACGGUGAAAUGAGAUGCGGCAGCUUUUAAAAAGUCAUUGGGAGUCUUGGAUUCAGCUCCAUGGUGGCAGAUUUUGGAGACCCUGGAAUAAAGAUAGUAAAGCAGGCAUGGUGGGAAUCUUUGGAACAGAGAAGCCCCUGGAGACAGUCUCGGCCUGAGGUCACUGGGGCGCAAUGUACCCGCCCCACAAAGUAAUUAUUCUGCGGGCGAUUUCUUCAAAAAGUGAUUAACACUCGACUCUGUCGUGAUGCCGCAGUCACUACAGACAAUAACUUUAAGAGGCUGAUCUUCCACUAAUGAAAUCCUGUGUUUUCUCUGAGGUCACACAGGUGACUCAGAGCCUGCGCGGCUUCACACAUUCAGCGUAUGCUUCGACACCUAGUUGUUAACGGAUCACGGCUAGCUUGUGUAUCCCCUCCAACAUUACAUUGUAAGCUCUCAUCAGGACAGUCAUCAGACUGUCUCAUCAGACAGCAAAUAGGGGAAUUGAAGUCCAUCGUGUGUGAGAUCCUACGUAGUCCCUACUAAAUCUGGCUGAUGGCAGUUGUCUUAAUUGGCGGCAACUUUCUCAUUACGGUGCCUUCUUAACCGCUAAGAGGGUCCACGCUUUGCUUAAUCUGUGUUUACAAGCUUGUCAAGAGGGGCACGGAAGGCAAGGUGCACAAGGGGGUGUGGCUGAGUGUGAGCUAACGCGUCAAAGACACCUUGAAGAUACCCUCGGCCCAGUACCAUGUGCCCAUUAUCACAACACACGAAGGCUGGAAACCUUCUCACCGGAGCUCUACUGGUGACCCCCAGGGGGAACUGUGAUUCAUCUAUUCCAGGCGUGUAAACGUUCACACACUUAGAAAACUCCGAGGCAGGGAGAUUCAGCCUUCCGUAGGAGCUCAUUUCACUGUUUUGAAAGACCGAGGGAAUGAAUAUCUUCCUUCAACCUAAAUCCAUCACGGGGCUGCGUGUGCCGAUUCCCCAGAAGAGCCGGAGACCAUCUGGUGACCGCAUCUGUGUGAAAACCCUUUCCGUCCUCCCCAACUGUUGCUAGAUUCAGAAUACGUUGACCACGUGCAAAGUUUCCCGUAACAUUAGACUCCAGACCAGUCAUUCCUCUUGUCAGAAAAUGAUGGCACCAAUUAUCAAAACAUGAUGGCGGUCGCGAGCAAGGGAGAUAAAUUCAUCUACAAUGAAUGACCUGUUGUAAUAAAGUUUUGGAAAGCUUUCAGGUCUGCCGAAUAAAAGAGAGGUCUAUCGGGAAGAUCCAUCUAUCUUCUGUGAAAAGUCUUGUGCCACUGAACAAAGCAGAAAAUAGCCUCGAGAGUCCCCACUGGAAAAACGAGACCCUUCAUGAACGUAAUUCCCAUUACCGUCAUAGGACGUGAUGCUAAAGUGCCAACAGCUGGCAUGGGAAACUUUGCAGAAGGUACAAUGCAUACUGGGUAAAUCCAAGCACAACAGGACCAAGUUCUUAGCAUUUUACAUUUUAAAUAACACCCACCAAUGUUUGCCGACACGUGAGAUUUUCUAGCUAGGCUCUUUAAGGAAGGCAACUACAAUGUUAGUAACGAGAUUUGUCCUCUCACUUUGAGAAGCUCGUCAGAUGUGAAGUUUUAACAUGCUCACCGGGUCGGGCAGAUUUCCACUGUACGUUUCAUUGUUUGCCUGCCCCCCCACCCCCUCCCUUAAAGUUGCUAGGUUCUGCUGCAAAGAUUUUCGGGGCUGUUUUGUUGGCAGCUUAGGACGCAUCCGUGACCUUACCAAAGUGGAAGUGAAAGCUCUCAGUAUUUCUUCUUUCUUUCUCUCUUUCUUUCUUUUUUGCAACAGUAAAUCUAUUAAUUUUACAGUCAGUUGAACAGCAAUAGGUUAAUUUGUUUAAAGUCUGCGUUCACAAAGAAAACCUGGACCGCAGUGGCUUGAAUGCCUGAAACUGCAGCGUAGUGGCUGAAGGGUAGACACUCUUACAGCGCGCUCGGGACGGACGCUGGCGGUCCACUGUCACCUGCUUCUCCGCACAGGUGCUGACCCCUCGGUUGAUCCGGGGCCUCCUGGCGGGGUAGCGGGAAGGCUGGGCCUUUUGUGUGCUACAGAGAACGCUUUUCCAAGGACUGGGCCCGUUGUCUCCAGCAGCCACAGGAAGCAGAAGAAAGAAGAGGUUAAGGGCCACCGUGAGGGUCAGGAUGGGUUAAAUUUAGUUAACAUCGGAGGUUAUAGCUUUUAACAAGAGCUUCAAGAAAACUUAUUCGAAGAUGCAAUUUGUCUCUUCUUUGUCAACGGUUAUUAUUUUUUUUUUGCCCUAUUGAUAGUGACAGCCUAACAAAGUUUUUAUAUGCUGGAGGUUUUCAUCCUUUAUAGAGAAGAAAGGACUGUGUUCCUAAAGAGAGGUGCAGGUGGGGGACUUUAUAAAGCUUCCGUGAUUUUCAAAUUGGGAGGCUUUAGAAUAGGCUCCCUGCUUGGCUAAGUCAAAAAUAAUCUGUGAGGGAUGUUGAAAAAAAAAAUCCCCAUUAGAAAUGGAGGAAUGCUUCAGCAGUCAGAUGCAGGGGCUCAAGUUUCUAGAAGCUUCUUUGUGUGUGUUUACUUUCAACCACCCCAGCCUAGUUUUCCCAGUUGUUUUUUUCAAAGUUACCAAAGAGGCCCCCUCUUAAGUUUCCACAUGUGUGUUUCUUUCCAUUUCGAGCAUAACACCGGGCACCACUAGUUGUGUGUUAUUUCUCCGUGCAAGCAAAGGAGGUAGCCAUAGUUUUCUGCAUAUGUCCUUCAUGCCGUUUUCAUUCUAGUACUCUGUAUUUUCUCUCCACGGACUGAAAUCUUCUGGAAAUCGGCCUUUGGGAAGAGAGUCCUGUCAACUCUAGCCUUUCAAUUGGAAACACACACCUUUCAAUAGGUAUGAUUUACCUAGAACUGAUGUUGAGGGUCUUGUGACACGUGAAGGCUUCAGGUAUUAUUUAACUGCAUUUCUACGAUAAGAGGCUCGACUUCUUUUUGGUGAGUUUUAUACAUUCACGGGGCUGAGGUUUUAGAAUACUGAACCUGGGUUGCCAGAGCCACGGUUUUGCUCUGAUGGUCGGAAGGGUAAGUGUAAUCAAAUAAUCUAAGUGCUGUACUGUAAUAUGCAUUUGACAACAUGUUUGCCUUAGGUACAGUGAGGACUCAUUUAAUUAUUAUUCGGGAAAUACGAUGUUUUGCAUGAGAGAAUCUUCCAGGUACCUAAGCGUACCUUCCAGAAACACACAGAACUUCUAACCACUUUGAAUAAAAGCGUCUUAUAUAAUGUA